Dermacentor albipictus is the source of this 1498-nucleotide long non-coding RNA. RefSeq lists it as uncharacterized. The record is from RefSeq and is a predicted model, not a curated record. NCBI's taxonomy places the organism in Eukaryota, Metazoa, Arthropoda, Arachnida, Ixodida, Ixodidae.
AGCCCGGUUCAUCCCCUUGUUUCUCUUUUUCUUCUCGCGCUUUCUCGUCCUCGUGCACCGGACUACUUUCUCUUACGGCAAGGCCACCCCGAAAACACGCACUUUCCUAUCGAAUGCCCCCACCGCGAUCGGGGGCCCCGACACGAAGAAACCACCGUACAGGCAGAGGCCGCUCGCGAGCUCGACGCCGGACGCCGGCGAGAUAGCGGGGCCGCCUUCCCGGCCGCCGUGUUCCGGCCCCAACCUUUCCUCGUCGCUUUGCACGUUAUCGAAAGCUGCAGCCGCGGGCCGUCCUCCCACCGGCAGCGGGAACGCCACCGCGGGAUGCGGGACACGGAGGCCUCGCCGGUCACAGCCAGGAGACGACGAGGACGAUGGAUAGCCGCCGAGGCAGGGAGUAGUAGCCGCCGAGAGGCGACCAGACCAGCGCACGGUCUUCCGCGUCCAUUCAAGCCUGCACACAACACUGCGACCUCACUAAGAAAACAAGAAAGAACGAGAAUGUCUUGAAGGCAUGGAUAACGGCGGGACCAUCGUGUGCAGCCAAAACCAACGAGCGACCCUCCCGCUUCAAAGAACCAGGCAGCAGAUAAGCGAGCUGAAGCUGUCGUCAAACAACGCAGACAGGGGGUCAAGCGUUGGGUCUGCGAGCACAGGGACCGGGCCUAGUGAGGAGGAGGUGCGCCCGGGCUGCGAGCCGGAGCGGAGGAGAGGUGACCCCGAGCCGUGGCGUCGUCGUCGUCUCCCGGCCCGGGCCCACAGCCGCCGGGGCGAGAAAGAUAAUGUCAAGGUUCAGAGCGGCGUCCUGCUGCACGGAGGCAGAGCGCACGCCCGCGCGCUGUACUGCUGCUUCCGGGUUGCUGCUGCUACCGCCGCAGCUACCUGCGCUUGAACACCAUCGACUCGUACACGCGUUCGGCUGUUGAGAUUAUCUUUUAAUGCGACGGCAUUUAUUCACACUGCGAGAUUAUUUGUGAAAACGAGAGAACGCUUCCCGCUAUCUAGGUCGCGUGGUAUGCGCCCAGGAGUGCUGACCAACAGCUGACCCGGCUUCGCAUGUGCGUCUCUCUGUCCCCGUCCAAAGCCGAUUCCUGGGUCACCUCAUGCAUGAGACACAUUUCCAGUGUUUUGAAACGGCAUCCGCCACGCACAGAGAUGUGUUAACGCGCCCGUUUUCGUUGGUCCUUUUCACUGCAUCAUUAAUAACAAUUAAUAACGGAUAAUAUAUGCACUUCGCCGUAAAUUGCACAUGUGCAUUCACCACGAGUUCACGGGAAGAUGCCCCCUUUUUGCGAACUCGCGGCGAACACUACUGCGUUAACUACAGGAUUAAAAAAAAAACUGUGUUGCCCGUAACGCGAAUCAGUGGCGCGAUGAGCUGACGAAAUGCGCGCAGUGAGUCUUAGACUGUUCCGUGCGGUGUUUGUCGGGGUGAAGAUUCCCAAAUGCUAGCGAGCCAUCUCCUUCCGAGAAGUGAAAUAAAUGUGGGUUGCAUUCA